RNAcentral lists this unclassified non-coding RNA (350 nucleotides) under soil metagenome. RNAcentral's name for it is "partial contains 5.8S ribosomal RNA, internal transcribed spacer 2, and large subunit ribosomal RNA". The stretch from base 1 to 120 matches the Rfam family "5.8S ribosomal RNA", at positions 35 to 154 of the family's 154-position model. The record is from RNAcentral.
GAUGAAGAACGCAGCGAACUGCGAUAAGUAAUGUGAAUUGCAGAAUUCAGUGAAUCAUCGAGUCUUUGAAUGCACAUUGCGCCCCCUGGCAUUCCGGGGGGCAUGCCUGUCCGAGCGUCAUUGCUGCCCUUCAAGCCCGGCUUGUGUGUUGGGUCGUCGUCCCCCCCGGGGGACGGGCCCGAAAGGCAGCGGCGGCACCGCGUCCGGUCCUCGAGCGUAUGGGGCUUUGUCACCCGCUCGAUUAGGGCCGGCCGGGCGCCAGCCGGCGUCUCCAACCUUCUAUUUUACCAGGUUGACCUCGGAUCAGGUAGGGAUACCCGCUGAACUUAAGCAUAUCAAUAAGCGGAGGA